RNAcentral lists this ribosomal RNA (550 nucleotides) under uncultured Glomeromycotina. RNAcentral's name for it is "SSU rRNA". It matches the Rfam family "Eukaryotic small subunit ribosomal RNA", at positions 548 to 1098 of the family's 1831-position model. Lineage: Eukaryota; Fungi; Glomeromycota. The record is from RNAcentral.
UUGGAGGGCAGUCUGGUGCCAGCAGCCGCGGUAAUUCCAGCUCCAAUAGCGUAUAUUAAAGUUGUUGCAGUUAAAAAGCUCGUAGUUGAACUUCGGGGUCUACCCAUUGGUCAGGCUUAAUUGUCUGUACUGGUGAGAUGGAUCUCUACCUUCUGAGGAACUUUCAUGCCAUUUAUUUGGUGUGAUGGGAAAUCAGGACUGUUACUUUGAAAAAAUUAGAGUGUUUAAAGCAGACUAUCGUCUGAAUACAUUAGCAUGGAAUAAUGAGAUAGGACGGACUGAUUCUAUUUCGUUGGUUUCUAGGAUCACCGUAAUGAUUAAUAGGGAUAGUUGGGGGCAUUAGUAUUCAAUUGUCAGAGGUGAAAUUCUUGGAUUUAUUGAAGACUAACUACUGCGAAAGCAUUUGCCAAGGAUGUUUCCAUUAAUCAAGAACGAAAGUUAGGGGAUCGAAGACGAUCAGAUACCGUCGUAGUCUUAACCAUAAACUAUGCCGACUAGGGAUCGGACGAAGUUAAUUUUAUAAUGACGCGUUCGGCGCCUUACGGGAAAC